AAAGCAUCUAAGCACGAAACUUGCCCCGAGAUGAGUUCUCCCUGACUCCUUGAGAGUCCUGAAGGAACGUUGAAGACGACGACGUUGAUAGGCCGGAUGUGUAAGCGCAGCGAUGCGUUGAGCUAACCGGUACUAAUGAACCGUGAGGCUUAACCUUACAACGCCGAAGCUGUU
RNAcentral lists this ribosomal RNA (174 nucleotides) under Escherichia coli O111:NM str. K6723. RNAcentral describes it as "partial 23S ribosomal RNA". It matches the Rfam family "Bacterial large subunit ribosomal RNA", at positions 2774 to 2925 of the family's 2925-position model. The record is from RNAcentral. Lineage: Bacteria; Pseudomonadati; Pseudomonadota; Gammaproteobacteria; Enterobacterales; Enterobacteriaceae.